RNAcentral lists this ribosomal RNA (327 nucleotides) under uncultured eukaryote. RNAcentral describes it as "partial 18S ribosomal RNA". It matches the Rfam family "Eukaryotic small subunit ribosomal RNA", at positions 1470 to 1796 of the family's 1831-position model. The record is from RNAcentral.
CCCUUAGAUGUUCUGGGCCGCACGCGCUCUACACUGACGAAUGCAACGAGCUUAUAACCUUGGCCGAAAGGUCUGGGUAAUCUCCAAAUUUCGUCGUGAUGGGGAUAGAUUAUUGCAAUUAUUAAUCUUCAACGAGGAAUGCCUAGUAAGCGCAAGUCAUCAGCUUGCGUUGAUUACGUCCCUGCCCUUUGUACACACCGCCCGUCGCUCCUACCGAUUGAAUGGUCCGGUGAAGCGUUCGGACCGUGGCCUUUGGACGGUUCGCCGUCUGUUGGCUGCGGGAAGUUCGUUAAACCUUAUCAUUUAGAGGAAGGAGAAGUCGUAACA